UACGAAGGGGGCUAGCGUUGCUCGGAAUCACUGGGCGUAAAGCGCACGUAGGCGGACUCUUAAGUCGGUGGUGAAAUCCUGGAGCUCAACUCCAGAACUGCCUUCGAUACUGGGAGUCUCGAGUCCGGGAGAGGUGAGUGGAACUGCGAGUGUAGAGGUGAAAUUCGUAGAUAUUCGCAAGAACACCAGUGGCGGAGGCGGCUCACUGGCCCGGUACUGACGCUGAGGUGCGAAAGCGUGGGGAGCAAACAGG
Molecule: ribosomal RNA, 253 nt
Filed under: uncultured bacterium
Lineage: Bacteria
Description: partial 16S ribosomal RNA
Rfam family: Bacterial small subunit ribosomal RNA
Source: RNAcentral